Molecule: RNA transcript, 7072 nt
Organism: Camelus dromedarius (Arabian camel)
Lineage: Eukaryota; Metazoa; Chordata; Mammalia; Artiodactyla; Camelidae
Gene name: zinc finger protein 548
Exons: 9
Source: RefSeq, a predicted model, not a curated record
CCUGUACCAUGCUGUGAUGACGGAGAACUUGGCGCUUCUGUCCUCCCUGGGUUGGAACACAAUCACUGAUCAUCUCUCCAGCUCUCCUUCUUGCCCCGCCUGGCGUCUUCUCUUGCGUAUUGGAGAUCAUGAAACAGCCUCCAAAACAUCAGUCGACAUCUAUUCGACAAGCAACAAGAUAGCUGACAGCUAUGAGUUGACGUAGAGUGUGUCCCUUUGAGUGCGUAGAUUUGGGAAAUUGCGGUGCUUCAUACAGUCUGAAAUCACAGGUCCCUAACCUUUCUGGGCUUUUCCAAGACUGCUCUCAAAGUCUGGGUGUGUCCCCUUUAUGAGUACUCCCCAUCCUUAGAGCCAGGGAUCGGCCCGCGCCCCUGACAGAGCCCCUAGGCCUUCCUUGAGUAAGUUCCGCUCUGACCGCUGGUAGGUGUGGCGGCAGCAGAAACUACAUUACCCAGAAGUCACUACGGUGCUCGGCGGAGACUGAGCCAAUGAAACCUUAGGGGAGGGACGCAUACGUGCGUGCGCAUCGAGUGUGGGCGGGACUUCCGGCGUUGUUUCUUGCUGUCUUUUGUUUGCUGUGCGCGGAUCACCCCUUCGCUGCCUCAGCGUCGGUUGCUGGGACCUGAGGUGACGGAACGGAAAAGCGGGAGGAAAGACCUUGUUGCCAUUGCUCAUCGGCGGCGUGAGUGAUGGCGGUGCCCUCGUUCCCGCCCCACUCCCCGCCUCUCCGGGCCCCUCUCUCCUACCGGCCGGUGGCUGAGGCCGCGCCGAUGAGCCCCGCUCAGGGCUGUGUGGUCUUUGAGGAUGUGGCCGUGCACUUCUCCCAGGAGGAGUGGGGGCUCCUGGAUGAGGUGCAGAGGCUCCUGUACCGGGAUGUGAUGCUGCAGAACAUUGCACUCUUAUCCUCCGUAGGUUGUUGGCACAGGGCCCAGGAUGAAGAGGCUCCUUCAGAGCAAGGUGAUUCCAUUAGCGUGUCCCAGGUCAAGGCUCCAGAGCUGGCUCCACCCACCCAGAAGUCUCCUUGUGAGAUGCAUGGUCCGCUCCUGAAAGACAUUUUGUGCCUGGCUGAGCCCAGCGGAACACACCCUGAAUGGGAGGCGCCCAUGUGUGGGGCAAGUCUUUCCCAGCCCCGAAAGGAGCAGAGUGGAGAGAAACUAUCUGAAAGGGACAAGGGGAGGCCCUCGUCCAUGAAGAAGUGCAGCGAUCACCUGGCCGGGAGGACCCCGACGUGCAGGGAGGGAGGGGAAGACUUCCCGCCCAGGUUAGGCCUUCUCCAGCCCCAGGCCCCACACAGUGGAGGGGAGCCACACAGGGUCACAGAGGGCAGGGAGACCUUUGAAAGUGGACAGGAAGAUUACAGGUGCCGUGACUGCGGGAGCGCCUUCGGCCAUGAACACGGAGUUGUUGAGCAGCAGGAAGGCCACGCUGGAGAAGAGUGUUCUGAUUGCAGCGAAAGCGAGCCCUUCCUCAGAAAGUUCCACCUGGUCCAGCACCAGAGAAUUCACACUGAGACAAGGCUUUACGAGCACCUUGGACACAGAGGAUUCUUCACACCAAGGUCUGGCCUCCCUGAACGCCAGCGCGUCCGCCCUCGGCCCAGGCCUCAUGGGUGCAGCCAGUGCGGGAGAUGCGUUAGAGACAGCUCCACACUCGUGGUCCAUCAGAGAGUUCACACUGGAGAGAAGCCGUAUGAGUGCAAUGAAUGCAGGAAAUGCUUUAGGUACAGCUUCACUCUCAAGAGACAUCAAAGAGCUCACGUUAGAGAAAGGCCAUUUGAGUGCAGCGUGUGCGGGAAACUUUUUGUCGACAGCUCCGCGCUCGUUAUCCAUCAGAAGGUUCACACUCGAGGAAGGCGUUUUGAAUGCAGCAAAUGCGGGCGGUUUUUCAGGUACAGCUUCACACUUGAGAGACAUGAGAAAGCUCACACGGGAGAGAGGCCUUACGAGUGCAGUGAAUGUGGGAAACUCUUUAGGCACAACUCAAAUCAUGUUAGGCAUCGGAGAAACCACACUGGAGAGAGGCCGUAUGAGUGCAGCGUGUGUGGCAGACUCUUCAGCCAAAACUCCCACCUCAUCCGGCACCAGAAUAUUCACACCAGAGAAAAAACGUACGAGUGUCGUGAGUGUGGGAAAUCCUUUAUGGACAGCUCCACACUCGUUAUCCAUCAGAGGGUUCACACCGGGGAAAAGCCCUAUGAAUGCAGUGAAUGUGGGAAAGUCUUUAGAUACAACUCCAGCCUCGUUAAACAUCGGAGAAUUCACACUGGGGAAAGGCCUUAUGAGUGCCUCAGCUGUGGGAGAGGCUUUAGCCAGAACUCCCACCUCACUCGGCAUCGAGAAGUUCACAGUAAAGUGUAUUGCAAACAGGCAAAGACUUCAAGGAAACCUCUGGUCUGACUUAGCACUGUGAGGUGUUGCUCUGCAGGGUUUUUAAAAACCUUUAAUGGUGGAAAACUACGUGUAACCAAAUUUAUGAUCUUAACCACAUUUAAGUGUAAGCUCAGUAGUAAUAAUACAUUCACACCUUGUGCAAAUAUUCAGAAGUCUUUUCAUCUUGCACAACAGAAACUAAGCCCAUUAGACAAGAGCACCUCACCCCCCCUCCCUUAUCCCCUGACAACCAUGCUCUGCUUUCUGCCUGUGCAUUUGGCCACUCUGGUACCUUAUAUAAAAGUCACAAUGUUUUUCUCCUUUUGUUGGCUGGCCUGUUGCACUGAGCAUAAUGUCCUCAAGGUUCAUCCAUGUCCCAGCAGGUGUCAGGAUUGCCUUCCUUUUUGCCUACUACUCCAUUCUAUGUCUAGGCCACUUUUUCUGUAUCCAUUUAUCAGUGGACUGUUGGGUUGCUUUCGCAAUUUGGCUGUUGCAAAUAAUCCUUUUAUAAGCAUGAUUGCACACAUAUUUCUUUGAGGCCCUGUUUUCAGUUCUUUUUAGGUAUAUACUCGGAAUUGUCAGAUCAUAUGGUAAUUGAAUAUUUAAUUUUUUUUGAGGAACUGAGGGGCUGUUUUCCAUAGUAGCUGUACCAUUUUACAGUACCAUUUUACAGUGGUACAGCUUGGAGGUUCUAAUUUCUCUACACCCUUGCCAACAUUUCUUUUUGCUUUCUUUCUUUCUUUUUUUUUUUUCUUUUUAGCAUUUUUUUGAGGUAAUUAAGCUUAUUUAUUUAUUUUUAGAGGAGGUACUGGGGAUUGAACCCAAGACCUUAUGUAUGUUAGGCAUGCAUGCUACCAUUUGAGCUGUACCCUCCCCCCAACACUUGUUUUCUUGUUUUAUUUUUUAUAACACUAGCCUAAGGGGCAUGAGGGGAUAUUUCAUUGUGGUUUUGUUUUGCAUUUAAUGAUACUGAACAUUUUUUCAUCUGCUUGUUGGCUGUGUAUAUUCUUUGGGAAAAUGUCUCUUCCAAUCCUUUGCCCAUUUUUAAAUGGGGUUAUUAUUAUUACUGUUACUUGGAUAUAGGAAUUCUUUAUAUACUCUGGGUAAUAACCUGUUAUCAGAUAGUUUACAAAUAUUUUCUUCUACUCCAAGGGUUCCCUUUUCAUUCUGUCCAUUUAGUCCUUUUUUGCACAAAAGUUUUAGAUUUCAGUUUAGUCCCAUUUAUUUCUGUUCUUGUUGCCUCUGCCUUUGGUGUCAUGUCCAAGAAAUUAUCGCCAAAGCCACCCAGUGUCAGGAAGCUUUUUUCCUCUGUUUUCUUCUAAGAGCUGCUGUGCACCAAGGUAUCAGCAGCAGGAAGUUGACACUGGAGAAGGACGUUACAUGUGGGCCACUGUGUUCUUUGCUUUUAACAUAACAGAGGAAAUCUCUGGAGGUUACCUCUGUGAAGGAUGUAUCUGCCAGAAAUUACAUCUCAUAUGUCCAAGCAUCCUCACUAGGGAGAUUCUCAGUAAGUGCCAGGUAUGUGGGAAGCUUUGGUGAACUGUGUUGCACUUUCAGACCCGCUUGGGGCCGUGACUGGAGUUCCCUCUGUUACCUGGCAGGGAGCUGCAGUGUGAACCACCUCAGUCUCUAAAAUACUCAGACACUGUGAAGGGAACCAGCAGCAAAAUGAAAAGACAACCUCCUGAGUAAGAGAAGAUAUUUGCAAAUCACAAAGCCAGUAAAGGGCUAAUAACCAGAAUAUAUGGAGAAUUUAUACAACUUAAUGUCAAAAAAAAAUUGGAUUAGAAAAUGGGCAGAGGACUUGAACAGGUAUUUUCCCAGAGAAGACAUGCAGCUGCCCAACAAGCACAUGAAAAGAUGCUGUACUUCACUGAUCAGGCAGAUGCAAAUCAAAGUCACAAUGAGCAGUCACCCCCACACCUGUCACAAUGGCUGCUGUCAAGAAGACAGCAAAUAACAAGUGUUGGUGAGGAUGUGGAGAAAAAGGCACCCUCAUUUGCUAUUGGUAGGGAUGUUAAGUUGGUGCAGCCACUAUGCCAAAGUGUGAAAGUUCCUUAAGAAAUUAAAAAUAUAGCUACAUUCAACCCAGUGAUUCCAAUCCUGGGUAUUUACCUAAAGAAAACAAAAACACUAAAUUGAAAAGAAAUAUACAUCCCUAUGUUCAUUGUAACAUUAUUUACAGCUGCCAAGAUAUGGAAGCAACUGAAGUGUCCAUUGAUACAUGAAUGGUAAAGAAGAUGUAAUAUUUACAUGUAUAUAAUGGAAUAUUACUCAGCCAUUAAAGCAGAAAUCUUGCUAUUUGUGACAGUAUGGGUAGACCUAGAGGGUAAUAUGCUAAAUGAAGUAAGUCAGUGAUUUCACUUAAAUGUGGAAUCUAAAAAGCAAAACAGAUGAAUGAACAAAACAAUCCAGAAGCAGAUGCAUAGAUACCAAGAACAAACCAGUGGUUGCCAGAGAGGAGAGGGGUGGGGGAAUGUUUGAAAUAGAUUAAGUGGAUUAAGAAGCACAAACUUCCAAUUGUAAAAUAAGCCACUGGGGGCAGGAAUGUCAUUGGAAUGUAAUAUGGAGAAUAGGGACUAGAGUCAGUAGUGUAAUAACUUAAAAUGUGACAGGUGGUAACUAGGCUUACUGUAGUAUCAUCUCAUCACUAGUCAAAUGUCAAGUUAGUAGUGUACACAUGAAGCUAAUAUAACAUUGGCACUUAUACUUCAACUAAAAAUUUUUUUUGUAAAGCAUUGGAAGUCACUGCUACAAAAUAGGUGAAGAUGGUCAAAAGGUACAGACUUCUGGUUGUAAAAUAAGUCAUGGAGAUGUAGUGUACAAUGUGGUGACUAUAGUUAAUAAUACUGUAUUGCAUAUUUGAAAGUUGUGAAGAGUAAAUCAGGAAAGUUCUCAACAAGAAAGUUCUGUACCUGUGUAUGGUGAGAGUAUUAAGUAGACUUACUUUGGUCAUUACUUUGCAAUAUAUACAAAUACCAAUCAUUAUGUUGUACAUCUGAAGCUAGUAAAUGUUAUAUGUUAAUUACAUCUCAGUUUUUUUUUCAGUGGGGAGAGCAGAUUGCUGUGCUGUCUCUCUUUGUCUAGAGUCUCCCCCGGCUGUUUGAGCCCUUUGGUGAGCCCUCACGGCCCACCCCCUUGAUUGUUUUGGAUGUGAACAUCACCCAGCUUGGACAGAGGACCCCAUAUGGCUUCGGUGGCAGCUUACAGAGGAUUCCCUUGUUCAGGGUCUUCACUGAUUGUCUCAUGACAUUCUGGACAGAUUUUUCCAGCCUCUGUUUUACCCAACCCAGGAACUUCUGGCUCCACUGUGCUGAUUUUUGUGCAAGUCUACAGAUUGUAUUCACCUGUCCUGUCAAGCGGUUAAUUGCCAGCGCUUUCCUAGCGAAAAAAUCGCAUUUUGGAGAACGGCCUAAUUCAUGUGGGAACUACAUUACCCAGCGGCCACUGCGAUCACCAGCAGCAGCGACGUAGCCAAUGAGAGCAGAGGGGCGUCUACGUGCCCGGCGCACCACGUGAGCGGAACUUACGCAUUUCCCCGUGGCACUGGUGUAGUUGUCGCGCAGCUCCUUUUCACUUCUUUGGGCCUCUGGAGUGCUGGGACCCUUCUGACGUGACUGAAUUGAAAAGCGGGACAAGAGACUGGUGCACCGAAGCGACUGUGAAGCCUGCCUGGGGACUCUGUGGUGCACUUGUUCCUGAAAUAAACAGGACCCUGUAGAGCCGUCUCAGAUUUCAUUUAUGAGUGAUAACAUAUGGUAUUUCUGUUUCUCUUUCUCGCUUGCUUGGAAUGACAGUCUCCAUCCACGUUGCUGCAAAUGGCAUUAUUUUAUUCUUUUUGUAGGGGGCCUUUAGCACCACCUGAAAUAUUAAAUGGAUCACUCAAUUAAAGUGACAUGACCCUGCUCUUCCUGCUGUUUCCACAUUCUGAAGAACCCCUCAAUGACCCCUGCACUGGACUACUUCCAUCUUCUAGGUCACAUAGUGUUGUCCAAUUAGAGCUGGGAGGAGAACAACGGGGACACAGACUCCAGGUUGUUGGCAACAAGCAGAGGAUGAGAAGACAGCUUAUGAGCAGGAUGAAGGUGCCACAAAUAAAAUUUUCAAAGGCAGUUUCCAUCUAGCUGAGGACCUGGGAACAACCUCUGGCCGAAAACCGUGUGGGGCAGGUGUGAAACUGCCCCCACGCUGUAAAGUGUUUAAGAGAGACGUGCGUAAGGCUCCAUGGUUCCCGCGUCCAAGAAGUCUUUCACAUGCCAACAUGCCAGGGGGCUGGGAGAGAUUCCUCUGGUAGCUCUGGCCUCACCACAGAAGGGCACUGAGUGUGUAAAAGCAUUCAGGAACCAACCCACACUUUUCCAACACCAGCUACUCCACUGGAAAACACCUCUUAGAGCGUAGUGAAGGUGAGGUUUUACACUUCGUUCUCACUAUCACAGACAUGCCUAAUGUGACCAUGUAGAGAACAUUAUGAGUAUACAGGUUUGUAUGCUUAAGUGGAUGACUCUUUUUGCCCCGUCAGUAAGUAGUUUUUGUUUCAUAAGAUGUUCAUCGUAUUUGCCUACUGGUAAUGAAUGUGGUAGCUCAGUUUUUUUGAGGGGGUGGGUGGGAGGGAAGGUAAUUAAGUUUAUUUACAUGCAGAUACUGAGGAUGGAACCCAGGACCCCUUGCACUUGGCUACACCUGUCCCUUUUUAUUAGUAA